This is a long non-coding RNA of Mercurialis annua (annual mercury), 1827 nucleotides long. RefSeq lists it as uncharacterized. The record is from RefSeq and is a predicted model, not a curated record. The transcript is spliced from 7 exons. NCBI's taxonomy places the organism in Eukaryota, Viridiplantae, Streptophyta, Magnoliopsida, Malpighiales, Euphorbiaceae.
GCUUUUUUUGCCGAUUUAUAUCUCGUCAUUUUAAUUUCAACUAUAUAAUUUGUUUCUUUGCCGAUUUAUAUCUCGUCAUUUUAAUUUCAACUAUCAGCUCUUAUAGUCAUAUAUGAUAUCUGAAUGUUAUACAAGUGGACAUAUGGAACUAUAUGUUUCAUUUUAUAACACAGAAAUUGUUUUCUCCAUAGAACAAGUAUGAACAAAAGUAAGUCUAGUUGCAGCUUAUUGAGUGCUCACAGUUCCUAUAAGUAAUGUAGAUAUUAAGUUAGCUUUAGCUUCUUCUAUGGAGAUAUAAUUACUUGCUCUAUUAAAAAUUAUUUUAAAUUGACAAUGAAUGCAUUCCUAUAUACAUUGAUCAAUGAUUGAAUAUUUGAAUUAGACAUAUUGUUUUUGGCUUAAAAUGAUAAAAUGAUAGUUACAUUUGUGCUCUUUACUUGAAAAUCAAUUUUAGGUAUAAAGAUGCUUUAGAUUACAUGUCUAAAGUUCCAUGUUUUUAGAUCUUAAUGGAUAUUGUUUUUCUGUCAAAAAAGUGAAUCAAAAUUAUUUAUUAUCUUUUCUUUCAAAUGUUGGAUUACUUGUAUUUUCUGAGAAUAAAUUAGAUUUGGCCUCCAUCCACCCCAAUCAUAGGCGGGAUUUGAUCUUUAAAUCUUUCGGCGUAUUUUUCCUUUGAUGGCUUGAAGUUAUUCAUUGCUGACAGUAUGGUGACAGAGAGGGCACAUAUCUUAGCUAAGACGACUGUGCCAGAUUUCGCCUUCUUUCAAAAAAUUUGUAAGCAUGUUUGGUCCGCAGGAAAAGUAUAAAACUUGAGACUAGUCCUACAAGAGAAAUGCAACCCCAGGCUAUGAAGGUCUUCAAUUAGCAUUUCCUUCCCAUGCACACCAAUUCUUUCCCCAACAGCGUCUCCAGCAGGUUGGUGCUUCCGCAUUGGCGUUGUAUACAAGAGCUGCAAAGUACACCUUGCUGCAUUGGUUGAAAUCCCCUCUCUUUUUGUUGCCUUGAUCUUCGAGAACUGUGAACUUCCGUAUGCAAAUCAUGGACAUGUUAUUCUAGUUGACCUUUCUCUAAUCUUGUUUUAUCGUAUUAGCAGCUCGGAAAUUCACUGUUUGGUUGACAUACCAGCUGGCCAUAAGCUACCUUCUUUUUACAAUGGUGACAUGGCUACUUAUUUGAAUGGAUAACGACAAGAAGUCCAAAAUUACCGAGAUGAUCAGCGUAAGGUCCUGUUGGAAGUGGUGAAGGAAACUGUAUUGUCCCAUCUUUACAAGAAAAUGUCCACCACAUGUUUAAGUGGUUGGCUUGCUUUGUUAAACUCAUGAGAAAGAAAGCACGCAUAAACUGCUUCGAAGAGUUGCUGUCAGUGGUGGCGCUUUUGCUAGUAAAAAUGUAACCAAAGUUCAUAUUCCAAUGCAAUGAACUGCUACGGAGAAUAAAAGAGUGCCCUGCUUAAAUCCUUGCUGCGAUUAACAUGGACGAUCAAGAACUCACAGAAAGCAUGAAAAAGCUUUUGAUUGUCAUGCAAAGACUGGAUAACAAAAUUGCUCCGAUGAUAGAAGCAGAUGGAGAACUAAGAGGUAUGCUGAUAUAUACACCUCUAAGGUCUCGAAUUUCCUAAACUAUACACCAUUGAUGUACUUCAACUCGCAGGCAGAGACGUUGGUUCAAUUUUGAGUGACAGCUUCUCUAGUGGCAGAAAAGGCGCUCAUGUUUAGUAGUAUAAUCGUUAUUUUUGAUGAAUAUUUUGGUGAACAUUUUCUGUUUGUGAUGUAAUGGAUGGAUGGAAUAUUUUCCAAUUUUAGAUUUUAUGAAUAUUUUCCGUUUUUUAAA